This 465-nucleotide ribosomal RNA is filed under the name Pseudomonas sp. Its description in RNAcentral is "bacterial SSU rRNA". It matches the Rfam family "Bacterial small subunit ribosomal RNA", at positions 61 to 521 of the family's 1533-position model. The record is from RNAcentral. Lineage: Bacteria; Pseudomonadati; Pseudomonadota; Gammaproteobacteria; Pseudomonadales; Pseudomonadaceae.
GUCGAGCGGAUGAGUGGAGCUUGCUCCAUGAUUCAGCGGCGGACGGGUGAGUAAUGCCUAGGAAUCUGCCUGGUAGUGGGGGACAACGUUUCGAAAGGAACGCUAAUACCGCAUACGUCCUACGGGAGAAAGCAGGGGACCUUCGGGCCUUGCGCUAUCAGAUGAGCCUAGGUCGGAUUAGCUAGUUGGUGAGGUAAAGGCUCACCAAGGCGACGAUCCGUAACUGGUCUGAGAGGAUGAUCAGUCACACUGGAACUGAGACACGGUCCAGACUCCUACGGGAGGCAGCAGUGGGGAAUAUUGGACAAUGGGCGAAAGCCUGAUCCAGCCAUGCCGCGUGUGUGAAGAAGGUCUUCGGAUUGUAAAGCACUUUAAGUUGGGAGGAAGGGCAGUAAGUUAAUACCUUGCUGUUUUGACGUUACCGACAGAAUAAGCACCGGCUAACUUCGUGCCAGCAGCGGCGGU